UAGCAGCUGAUGUGGUGAAGUGGGAUGGAGGUAGGGGUAGGAUAGGGAGGGAUCAUUCCAGGCAGAGCAAACAGUGUGUGUGAAGAUCCAGAGUGAGAGGCACUGAGAGAAGGCCAGUGAUGCAAGGUGAGGCUGGGAGCUGGGCAGUGGUCAGACUGGGAGGGACUUGAUGGGCUAAGUUCAUGACUUGGUCUUCAUCCAAGAGCAGUGAGGAGCUAUUGAAAAGUUUUCAGGAGUGCAUUUGACAUAAUCGGAUUUGAAUUCUGUAAAGCUAACUUUGGCUAUACCAUGGAGAAGAGUUUUAAGUUGGUGGAGGUGAAUGUGGGAAGCGCAGUUAGGAUCUUGCAGUAGUCAUGGACAGUAAUGAGAGUAUCUUGGGCAAUGGUGGAGCUGAAGAGGGGUGUGUGGCUUCAAGACAAUUAAAUGCUUAGACAAUUAAAAUCACCAGGACUUGGUGAUGGAUGGAACAUGGGAUGAGGGACAGAGACAUUAGGAUAAGUCCUGGGUUCCUGGCUUUCAGACCUGACUGAAUAGUGGUACCAUUCCCGAAAGGUAGCAGAUGCUGGAAGAGGUCAGUUUUGGUGUAGAGAUUAUGAGUUCAGUUUUGGACAUGCUGAGUUCAAGGUGUCUUUGGAGGAACUGAGUGACAUAGUCAAGUUGGCCACAGGAUUCACAGGUCUGGAGCUGAGAGGAGAGGUCUGGGCUGCAUAUAGAAGUGUGGGCCUCACUGGGUUAUGGGGGAAUCAGAGCCAUGAGUGUGGAGUAGAUUGACCCAGGAAAGUGGGUGGCCUGGAGUGAGAAAGGAAAUGAGGCUAGGCCUAGCCUUGAGGCCCUCCAACAUCUACGCAUGGGUCAGGGAGGAUGCAACUACCAAAGAGAGUGAGAACAAAGGAGAGGUGGGAGGAAGAAGAGACUGCAUCAAGGACUGGUCGGGUAACGUGUCAAAAGAAUUUAGGAAGAACUCAACAAAUAUUUGGUGAAUGAAUAAACCUUGCCUCAGAUGACGUAGCCAGGAAAUGAUAAACCUAGGACUGAAACCCUGGUCAUCUUCAGGUGUCUGCUCUUCCCCUCAAACCAUGCUGACUUUAAUGACCAAAACCUUACAUCCAAAGAGGGAACUCUUCUUAGAAAAGGUGGAAAUUGAACUGGGGUGUCGAAAGAAGGCUCGGAUUUGCAGAGAGGAGUUGGUAUUCCAGUUGGAUUCAGUGGCACUGCUUAAGACUUGAAGCUGGAGGUGAGGAAAGCUUGCUCAGGGAGCAGCAGAAAGGAGGCCUGGCUGACCCUGCACCUUUGCUUUUGUUUCCUGUCCUUGCUCACCUUCAAUUUCUAAAGUUGGCUCUUCCCCUCUCCCAUGACUGCUCCUUCCCAUCUGUCACCUCACACAGGUUUUCACUACGCCAGAUCAACUGCCUGCAAUCCUUGACUGCCCCAUCCGCUCAUGGGUCUCUAAACUCAUGUCCUGCUUUAUCUUUUGCUUCCCUUUUAACCUCCUUUUUUAACAUUGGCUCCUUCUGAAGCUGCAAUAUUCAUUCAUUAAUCAUUCUUUCAUUCAUUCAACAAAUGAUUAUUGAGUGCCUGAUUUGUGCCAGGCACUUUUCUAGGUUCUGGGCAUACAUUAGUGAACAAACCUGACUAAGUUCUCUGCCUUCAAGUAGCUUACAUCCUAGCAAGGAGAAAUAGAUAAUAAAAUAAGUAAAUUAUGUAGCAUGUUAGAAGGAAAAACUGAUGUGAGAAAAAAUGCACAGCAGGCUAAGGGAGGAUUGAGAGUGUGGGGCUGGAGGUCAGAGUGUAGGUUUCAGUCCCGAAUUGUUACCAGAUCUGACAAUCUUUUUCCAGUUCACCUUGUUCCACUGCUUUUGCCACUUCCCUGCCAUCUUCCCCAGACUGAGGCCAGGCUCCACCCCCACAGCCUCAUCUGCGCAUUCAGCACUAAUCCCUCCCACACUAAUGAACUUUGAGAUCCCAUUGCCUGAAUGGCAUACGCCUUUGACUGGCAUUUGAGGCCAUUUGCAGUCUGACCUGGCCCAUCCACUCCUACCUGUGUUGUCAUCCUUCUGUGGACUCCUGUGUUACUGGGUUUUACCAGUUUGGGUGCAUGUGGCCAUGCUGACUUGAGGAGGACUUGCUCAUGCUUUUGGAAUUUCUUCAGCAGGUAAGCCCAGCCCUGUGUUUGGAUUGGGACAUAGAGAUCAGUUAAACUUGGUCUCUGUCCUUGAGAUGGCCAUAGUGCAGUAUGGAAAAAGGUUUCCAGCAGUUACAAGAUAUUGUGGUUAGAGUUGUCUCAGAGUUGUCCUCUAUCCUACAGCAGGGAAGGCUUUCCAGGAGGGAUCUGGGUGGAGCCCUGAAGGAGUUUCUCAGACAGUCAGCAGGGGGAAGGGCGCUCCAGACAGAGGCUUUUCCCUCAGUUAUAGUCUGUGUCUCUUGAGGGCAUCCUCUUCUCUUGCUUUGUAUUUCCCAUCUGCCUACCAGGCCGUUUGCCAAGAUUAGAUGUUAAUAAGUGCUACAUAAAUCAUUUGAAGCUCAGGGAGAAGUACUAUAUGAGGCUUGACGGCUCAGAUGAGGCCAGUUUUUGGAGUACUUGCAUGCUUGGGAGAGGAGAUUGGCCUUGACUCAGCUGGAGGUAAGAUGCACAAGGCCAAGAUGGGGGAAGACUUCAAGGAAAACAUUUGUCCUCUGUUUUGACCUCUGCCCACAGAGAGUCCAUGUGGUCUGCUCCUGGUGGGAGCUCAGAGGUACUGCAAGGGGCAGAAGGUCCAGGAGGGGACCACAGAGGCAUGUGCCUUUUGUGCUGGCAUUGUGCGAAGACACAGUAGAUCGCACAGCCAGCUCAUGAGUAGAGCAGGGACUAGAACCCAUGCCUCUGCCACGCCAUGUGCUCUUUUCUUGCUUCUCUUCUGAGUGUAAGCAAAAGUGAGCUGCACAAGUGGAAAUGUUUAAAAGCAGUUAAAGAUGGAGGAGGCCAUUGUGUUAUAAAGGAAAGUUGAUUGAUCUAAGAGCCAGGAAUCUUGGGUUCCUUGGCCCUUGAGCACAUUAUAGAAAGUCUUGAAUAGAACUAGGAUUUUCUAAGCUUCUAGUUAUAUAUAUAUAACUAGGAAUAUAAAUUAAUAUAAACAUAAGCUUCAGUUUUCUUAUCUGAAAAAAGGUAAUAAUCUAUUGUGAGAUUGUUGUGGAGGCACAAAUGAGAUGUAAUGACUUAGCACAGUCUGAUACAAAAUAAACACUCCCCAAAUGGAGAUAUAUGUAUAUAUAUUUUAUUUUUUU
This is a long non-coding RNA of Galeopterus variegatus (Sunda flying lemur), 3261 nucleotides long. RefSeq lists it as uncharacterized. Lineage: Eukaryota; Metazoa; Chordata; Mammalia; Dermoptera; Cynocephalidae. The transcript has 2 exons. The record is from RefSeq and is a predicted model, not a curated record.